CCCUUAGAUGUUCGGGGCCGCACGCGCGCUACACUGAUGCAUUCAACGAGUAAUCUUUGACCUUGGUCGACAGAUCUGGGUAAUCUUUUGAAAUUGCAUCGUGAUGGGGCUUGCGGGUUGCAAUUACCCGCACCAACGAGGAAUUCCUAGUAAACGCAAGUCAUCAACUUGCAUUGAUUACGUCCCUGCCCUUUGUACACACCGCCCGUCGCUCCUACCGAUUGAGCGGUCCGGUGAAGACUCAGGAGAUGGGCGCGUGCUUGGUUCGCCAACUGCGCUGCCUGCCAAAUUUGUCUAAACCUUAUCGCUUAGAGGAAGGAGAAGUCGUAACA
Molecule: ribosomal RNA, 332 nt
Filed under: uncultured eukaryote
Lineage: Eukaryota
Description: partial 18S ribosomal RNA
Rfam family: Eukaryotic small subunit ribosomal RNA
Source: RNAcentral